RNAcentral lists this ribosomal RNA (484 nucleotides) under uncultured bacterium. Its description in RNAcentral is "partial 16S ribosomal RNA". It matches the Rfam family "Bacterial small subunit ribosomal RNA", at positions 28 to 507 of the family's 1533-position model. The record is from RNAcentral.
AUUGAACGCUGGCGGCAUGCUUUACACAUGCAAGUCGAACGGCAGCGCGGGCUUCGGCCUGGCGGCGCGUGGCGAACGGGUGAGUAAUGCAUCGGAACGUGCCCAGUAGUGGGGGAUAGCCCGGCGAAAGCCGGAUUAAUACCGCAUACGACCUGAGGGUGAAAGCGGGGGACCGAAAGGCCUCGCGCUAUUUGAGCGGCCGAUGUCGGAUUAGCUAGUUGGUGGGGUAAAGGCUUACCAAGGCGACGAUCCGUAGCUGGUCUGAGAGGACGACCAGCCACACUGGGACUGAGACACGGCCCAGACUCCUACGGGAGGCAGCAGUGGGGAAUUUUGGACAAUGGGGGCAACCCUGAUCCAGCCAUGCCGCGUGCGGGAAGAAGGCCUUCGGGUUGUAAACCGCUUUUGUUCGGGAAGAAAUCCUCUGGGCUAAUACCCCGGGGGGAUGACGGUACCGGAAGAAUAAGCACCGGCUAACUACGUG